AACAUAUCUUCUCUAAACCCUCACUUUCUUUUGAAAAGUUGCAGCCGCAUACAAGCCCCUUCCACCUUCUCUGCAAUUCUUUUUAGAAAACCCUAGUUCACACAAGUUUCAGUCAAUAUCUUUCCACUUCUCUACAUUUUUGAAGAAUCCUUCACACCUACAACUCACCAGACACCCCUCUGUCUUCACGCAAGCUCCGGCAGCCGGAGCCAAACUCCGGCGACCCGUGAUUUCUGAUGAGGUUACACCACUCACAACCCCCCCCGGUCGCUUAUGCACAUCCGACAAACCACAGGGAGCCGACGACAACAGUGUGGCCGACCACCACACCUCGGUGGCGGCGGCGACGAGUGAGACCGAAGAGAGAGACAGAGAGCGAGUCCAGAGAGAGAGAUGGAUGGAUGGCGAACCGGUGAUGGCACCGCCGCUCACGGCGUCAGAGAUUGAGGAUUUUGACGGUGACCGGCGGCGACUGUGAUCCCAAUGGCGGCGGACGGAGCCUCGGUCCGAUGGGUUUGACGGGUGCAGCCGCUGAUGUUCUGGUUGUGAAUCAGUUGUUAAUUUCGGGUCCGGGUUUUGGUUCGGAUUUAAUUCAGUCUAUGCAGAUGUGAUGUUGGUCCAUGUUUCGGGUUCGGUACGGUCAGGCGGUUCGGGUGACUCAAACGAGUCAACUCGGUCGGCGAGUCAACUCGGGCGGAUGAGUUAACUUGGUUCGGUUCAGGUUUGGUUACGUUUCGAAUCUGAGUAAAACAUACUUCAGAUUUUACUCGGUUCUGACCUCUUAUUUUCGAUUCAGGUUCGGGUCAACAUAAGUCAACAACGGUCAACAGUUCUGAUUGACUCGGUCAACUGAGGUCAAACUCAGUCAACACGAGACGCGGUAAAGUUUUAGUGACGCGGAAAUUAGUUUAGAUUUUUAGUAUAGUUAUACGCGACCGAGCUCGACCCAAUUCAACUAGAUACUAGCUUACGUUUUGGUAUAUUGGAUGAGAAAUUCUUAUAUAUAAUGUUUAGUGAUUGAAUUAUUGUUGAGUUUUGAUAAAAAUACGACAACUUUCAUUUGUCGGGUUA
Long non-coding RNA from Helianthus annuus (common sunflower), 1071 nucleotides. RefSeq lists it as uncharacterized. The transcript has 2 exons. NCBI's taxonomy places the organism in Eukaryota, Viridiplantae, Streptophyta, Magnoliopsida, Asterales, Asteraceae. The record is from RefSeq and is a predicted model, not a curated record.